GGUUCUAUGGUGUAACAUUUAGCAGUCUGGACUCUGAAUCCAGUGUUCUGGGUUCAAAUCUCAGUAGAACCC
RNAcentral lists this transfer RNA (72 nucleotides) under Oryzias latipes (Japanese medaka). It matches the Rfam family "tRNA". From Rfam's summary of the family: Transfer RNA (tRNA) molecules are approximately 80 nucleotides in length. Their secondary structure includes four short double-helical elements and three loops (D, anti-codon, and T loops). Lineage: Eukaryota; Metazoa; Chordata; Actinopteri; Beloniformes; Adrianichthyidae. The record is from Rfam by way of RNAcentral.